CCGAAGCCGGUGGAGUAACCAUUUGGAGCUAGCCGUCGAAGGUGGGACAAAUGAUUGGGGUGAAGUCGUAACAAGGUAGCCGUAUCGGAAGGUGCGGCUGGAUCACCUCCUUU
This 113-nucleotide ribosomal RNA is filed under the name Staphylococcus epidermidis. RNAcentral's name for it is "partial 16S ribosomal RNA". It matches the Rfam family "Bacterial small subunit ribosomal RNA", at positions 1421 to 1533 of the family's 1533-position model. Lineage: Bacteria; Bacillati; Bacillota; Bacilli; Caryophanales; Staphylococcaceae. RNAcentral also lists the same sequence under 1 other name. The record is from RNAcentral.